CCCGACCAGGGUGUCAGAGUUUCAUUUGUGGGCUCAUCCUUGAAGACCAGGGACUGAUGCGUGAUUGAAAAAACAUGCUUAAGAAUCAUUCUGGGGGUCUGGCGGGAAUGGAUUACAUUUGUAUCCCAACAGUUGAAAAAGGUCCAACAGGUUCUGGCAUUAUUAGCUACACUGACCGUUAUUGUUUAAAUUGUUCCAUCGGCUACAGGAUCCGGUCGGCAAAGCUUGAUUGUUCAUGCAUUGGAUCAAUGUGAAUUCCAUGGGGGUUUUUUGGACAUGAUGGUUUUUCAACACGGACGGCCUGGCCCUGCACUGAUCUUGACUGAGUAGCUCGGCACCACGGUAAUGACAGUCAGAAGGGAUGGCUGUACGUGGAGACACAUGUCUGUUCCGGACCCUUCAAACGUCCACCCAAAACUCCAGCUACGUGUGAAUAAAGAGGACAGGAAGUGGCAGUUUGGCAGCUCCAACCAGGAGUGUCACUCUCAAUUGCGUCCCCUGCCAACUUCAGACACGUCGCAUGGCCGAGGAGGUCACGGCGCUGGCUCCGCUUGCUCGCUGCUUUUUUUUUGGAAUGCUCUGUCUCCUCAACAGGGUUUUUCCACGCCACCUACACGACACCACGCAGUCCAGACGAGACACUGACAUACGGAAGACGCAGAGGCAGAGCGACGGCCCAUUUUUGAAAGCUCUGAUAAAACAUGAGGAUGUCUUGUCAGAUUACGCUGAUGCACAGUGUCAGAAUGUCUGUGGUGUCAAAGUACUGUGUCCUAAGCUUGCCUACAUCCCUUCCUUGUCCAGACGCUGAAUCCUCAUCUUGAAGGAUGUUCAGAUGGAAAAUGGAAUUUCCUCAGCUUUAAGGAACGACUUAAUUCAUGCAAAUAUUAACCUCUGAGUAGUCUCUCAUGUCAAGACACGGUAGAUGUUAAUUUAAAAGACUGUGAAAUGCCUCGCAUGUAUAAGCGUGUCCAUUUUUGACACUCACAGUAUAUUUUGCAUGUGUCUGUAUUGUAGGUUACAAUAUGUGUAUAGUGGGAAUAAAAGCCAUG
Molecule: long non-coding RNA, 1049 nt
Organism: Esox lucius (northern pike)
Lineage: Eukaryota; Metazoa; Chordata; Actinopteri; Esociformes; Esocidae
Source: Ensembl